CCUACGGGUGGCAGCAGUGGGGAAUAUUGCACAAUGGGGGAAACCCUGCUGCAGCGACGCCGCGUGAGUGAAGAAGUAUUUCGGUAUGUAAAGCUCUAUCAGCAGGGAAGAUAAUGACGGUACCUGACUAAGAAGCCCCGGCUAACUACGUGCCAGCAGCCGCGGUAAUACGUAGGGGGCAAGCGUUAUCCGGAUUUACUGGGUGUAAAGGGUGCGUAGGUGGCAGGGCAAGUCAGAUGUGAAAGCCCGGGGCUCAACCCCGGUACUGCAUUUGAAACUGUCCAGCUGGAGUGCAGGAGAGGUAAGCGGAAGUCCUAGUGUAGCGGUGAAAUGCGUAGAUAUCAGGAAGAACGCCGAUUGCGAAGGCAGCUUACUAAACUGCAACUGACAGUGAUGCUCGAAAGUGUGGGUAGCAAACAGGAUUAGAUACCCCUGUAGUC
RNAcentral lists this ribosomal RNA (440 nucleotides) under uncultured bacterium. RNAcentral's name for it is "partial 16S ribosomal RNA". It matches the Rfam family "Bacterial small subunit ribosomal RNA", at positions 338 to 795 of the family's 1533-position model. The record is from RNAcentral.